Non-coding RNA from Picea glauca (white spruce), 1229 nucleotides. NCBI's taxonomy places the organism in Eukaryota, Viridiplantae, Streptophyta, Pinopsida, Pinales, Pinaceae. The record is from Rfam.
AUAAAAGUCUGGUCCUUAUGAAUAAUAUGAAAGAGUUGUAUGUAGAAUGUUGAUUAACCAACUAUCCAGCUCCAUGUUCUGGGAGAUGAAUGCCUUUGAUAAGAUCUUAACCAACCCCACGAUAAAUGAGAUAAUCUAGGGCCUUUACUGCCAUUUAAAAAAACACUUUUGUGGGAUGGAACCUAAGUGUCCCAUAUCCUAUGAUUCACACUUGUUGAUAGGCAGGAAGACCGAGGCUUUGCAGAGUGUCUCAGAAGCAUAGAGGAAAAUUUUCCUGAAGUCCAUGGCCUUGAUCAUGCCUAUAUUUGAGGGUCAUUCGAUCAUGUCAUAAGAUUUCCCAAAAAUCAAUCUCAAUGAAGAGGGUGUUUAAAUCAAGGAAACAUUUGAGGGCAUUCCAUAACUUUUUACCCUUCAAGAAAUAUCACAGACAACCUUCCAUCCAAAGUCAACAAAAUUGAAACCCAUUUUUGAGAGUUGGUGGUGCCUCAUCCUAUAACUAACGACAACGUUAGGAAAUAUGGAGACAUCGUCGGGCGCCCCAAGAAGAGUUAUCUUUUAUUUUUAACAUAUUUCCCACCCUGAAAUUGGCUCAACCAGAGAUAGGGUCCAAUAGCUAGAAGACCAUCGCACAUCUUGCGAUGUCUAGUGUGCCUCAGUGGCCCUUGAAAAUAUGGAGGACCAAGUACUGUCCAUGCCCAUUCGUACUCAUAACCGCAUCAAAUCUCCAAGGUGAACAACCUAUUGUCAAUAGAAAAAUGUAGGUAAGGGAAGUCAGCAAAAGGAAUCUGUAACUUCAGGAAAAGGAUUGGCUAUGAGGGCUGGGCCUAGGGGUCUGCAUCCUCAACCCAUGGAUUUUUGACAGUCUUCACGUGGGACUGUCAUUGAUUAAUGCUACCUCCUUUUGAAUGGUAGAGAACCACCUAUCAUUCAUGAUCCAACACAUAGUAGUCAAGAAUCCCAUCCAUUGCUAAUUGUUGGGCUCUAAAGAUGUCCUAAAAACAACCUUAGUUUAACAUUAAUUCAUCAACCCGAGGAUUCGUCUUCUAUUUCAAGAAUAUCAGAAAAGUCUAUGCAGAUAGCUUGUAGAGGCUAAAAUCGUGCAUCAAAUCCGAGUUUAUCAACAAUCAAGUUCCUCACACAUUCAUUAAGUUUCUAAAGCUAAGAUCCUACUGAACAUGAUUGAAAUAUGAUCUAUAAUGUGUUAUAAAUUGAAGGCAUGAAUUAAAUUG